Macaca mulatta (Rhesus monkey) is the source of this 1005-nucleotide non-coding RNA. The record is from RefSeq and is a predicted model, not a curated record. NCBI's taxonomy places the organism in Eukaryota, Metazoa, Chordata, Mammalia, Primates, Cercopithecidae.
CCCAUCCCAGAAGCCCAGCCAGCUUCACCUCUCACAGGUACCUGCUACGGGACUUUGCAGCACCUAGCCUGGGCACUGGGGCAGCCCAGAGGGAGCUCGUCCCAGACAACCAAGAGGAAAAGAGGGGAAGCGAGAAAGAGAGGAGACCCGCCAUUAUGACCAAUGACCCGGUGAAGCAGGAAUGACGGUUCCCGCACAGGCCCCUGAUCAAUCCCAGCAGGCGCCAGCAGGGCCGGGCACAAUGCUGGGCCCGCUGAGCCCACGCAUCAGGAACCCACGCUUCAGGCGCAGCCCAGAUUCGCGCUGCACCUCUCCCUCCACACCUCCCCGCGAGCAGAGGGAGCCGGGCUCCGACCUCGGCCAGCCCCAGUGAGGGACCCCAACAGCUCAGCGGUUGACUGAAGGGCUCCUCAAGCGCGGCCAGAGCGGAUGCGGAGGCCGAGGAGUUGCCAAGAGCGAGGGCUGGUAGCACGUUGUCACGUCUCAAAACUGCCCUGUAAAGUCUGCAAGAUGUGACUAUUCCACCAAAUCUCCAGACAUCCACAUAAGGCAACGAGAAACAUGAAAAACCAGGAAGACAUCAAACUACCAAAAGAAUACAAUAAACUCACAGCAGCUGACCCCAAAUAAAUGGAGACAUAGUAGUCCUGUCUUAUGUACGGUUUCACUUUCUACAGUUUCAGUUACCCAUGGAAUGAAGAAGUAGGACUGGGAUGCAAACUAGACCAUCCAGCCCUACUGUUUGCAGCCUGAACCACAAGCAAAUGGACAUUUUCCUUUCAUGGAGGUCAGGACAGAUGGAGGACAUAUGUGAAUAAGUGAUAUAUCAGACAACUGAGCAGCUUCUGAACAGUCAACAGGCACCAGAUCUGACUUCAGCCCAGUUUUUCCUCUGGGGAUAAGAUAUAGUAUAUCUGCGGGCAUCUAGAAGACUAUUGAAGCAGUUAUCCCUCAAUGGAUGCCUUUCUUCACUAACUUAAUUACAUUUCUAUAAGUAUAAUAAAG